UCUCCGCGUUACAAACAUUCUCAUGAAUACAAUAGACCCUAGUGAGAAAGAAACAGCUUUGGAUGGACUUUUAGUGUUUCAAGUAUGGAUGAGGAGAUUGUUUUUGUGACUAGAUUUUCUAAAAAAUUGGAAGACUUUUUCAACCCAAUUUUAUUGUUUAAUCUAAUAAUAUCAUCGAUUCUAAUUUGCAUGGUUGGAUUCCAAAUAAUAACUAAAAAGUCACAUAAAUACAUUAUGGCACGGUUCC
Long non-coding RNA from Drosophila ananassae, 247 nucleotides. RefSeq lists it as uncharacterized. The transcript is spliced from 3 exons. Lineage: Eukaryota; Metazoa; Arthropoda; Insecta; Diptera; Drosophilidae. The record is from RefSeq and is a predicted model, not a curated record.